CAGCAGUACGGCAGCUUACCAUGCAGUCGAACGAUGAACCACUUCGAUAGGGGAUUAGUGGCGAACGGGUGAGUAACACGUGGGCAAUCUGCCCUGCACUCUGGGACAAGCCCUGGAAACGGGGUCUAAUACCGGAUAUCACUUCCACUCGCAUGGGUGGGGGUCGAAAGCUCCGGCGGUGCAGGAUGAGCCCGCGGCCUAUCAGCUUGUUGGUGAGGUAACGGCUCACCAAGGCGACGACGGGUAGCCGGCCUGAGAGGGCGACCGGCCACACUGGGACUGAGACACGGCCCAGACUCCUACGGGAGGCAGCAGUGGGGAAUAUUGCACAAUGGGCGAAAGCCUGAUGCAGCGACGCCGCGUGAGGGAUGACGGCCUUCGGGUUGUAAACCUCUUUCAGCAGGGAAGAAGCGAAAGUGACGGUACCUGCAGAAGAAGCGCCGGCUAACUACGUGCCAGCAGCCGCGGUAAUACGUAGGGCGCAAGCGUUGUCCGGAAUUAUUGGGCGUAAAGAGCUCGUAGGCGGCUUGUCACGUCGGGUGUGAAAGCCCGGGGCUUAACCCCGGGUCUGCAUUCGAUACGGGCUAGCUAGAGUGUGGUAGGGGAGAUCGGAAUUCCUGGUGUAGCGGUGAAAUGCGCAGAUAUCAGGAGGAACACCGGUGGCGAAGGCGGAUCUCUGGGCCAUUACUGACGCUGAGGAGCGAAAGCGUGGGGAGCGAACAGGAUUAGAUACCCUGGUAGUCCACGCCGUAAACGGUGGGAACUAGGUGUUGGCGACAUUCCACGUCGUCGGUGCCGCAGCUAACGCAUUAAGUUCCCCGCCUGGGGAGUACGGCCGCAAGGCUAAAACUCAAAGGAAUUUGACGGGGGCCCGCACAAGCAGCGGAGCAUGUGGCUUAAUUCGACGCAACGCGAAGAACCUUACCAAGGCUUGACAUACACCGGAAACGGCCAGAGAUGGUCGCCCCCUUGUGGUCGGUGUACAGGUGGUGCAUGGCUGUCGUCAGCUCGUGUCGUGAGAUGUUGGGUUAAGUCCCGCAACGAGCGCAACCCUUGUCCUGUGUUGCCAGCAUGCCCUUCGGGGUGAUGGGGACUCACAGGAGACCGCCGGGGUCAACUCGGAGGAAGGUGGGGACGACGUCAAGUCAUCAUGCCCCUUAUGUCUUGGGCUGCACACGUGCUACAAUGGCAGGUACAAUGAGCUGCGAUACCGUGAGGUGGAGCGAAUCUCAAAAAGCCUGUCUCAGUUCGGAUUGGGGUCUGCAACUCGACCCCAUGAAGUCGGAGUUGCUAGUAAUCGCAGAUCAGCAUUGCUGCGGUGAAUACGUUCCCGGGCCUUGUACACACCGCCCGUCACGUCACGAAAGUCGGUAACACCCGAAGCCGGUGGCCCAACCUACCUUGUGGGGAGGGAGCUUCGAAGUGAUAUGACU
RNAcentral lists this ribosomal RNA (1433 nucleotides) under Streptomyces regalis. RNAcentral describes it as "bacterial SSU rRNA". It matches the Rfam family "Bacterial small subunit ribosomal RNA". Lineage: Bacteria; Bacillati; Actinomycetota; Actinomycetes; Kitasatosporales; Streptomycetaceae. The record is from RNAcentral.